CGUAGGGUGCAAGCGUUAAUCGGAAUUACUGGGCGUAAAGCGUGCGCAGGCGGUUUUGUAAGUCUGACGUGAAAUCCCCGGGCUCAACCUGGGAAUUGCGUUGGAGACUGCAAGGCUAGAAUCUGGCAGAGGGGGGUAGAAUUCCACGUGUAGCAGUGAAAUGCGUAGAGAUGUGGAGGAACACCGAUGGCGAAGGCAGCCCCCUGGGUCAAGAUUGACGCUCAUGCACGAAAGCGUGGGGAGCAAACAGGAUU
This 254-nucleotide ribosomal RNA is filed under the name uncultured bacterium. RNAcentral's name for it is "partial 16S ribosomal RNA". It matches the Rfam family "Bacterial small subunit ribosomal RNA", at positions 526 to 779 of the family's 1533-position model. The record is from RNAcentral.